Molecule: ribosomal RNA, 433 nt
Filed under: uncultured bacterium
Lineage: Bacteria
Description: partial 16S ribosomal RNA
Rfam family: Bacterial small subunit ribosomal RNA
Source: RNAcentral
AACGAACGCUGGCGGCAUGCCUAACACAUGCAAGUCGAACGAGACCUUCGGGUCUAGUGGCGCACGGGUGCGUAACGCGUGGGAACCUGCCCUUAGGUUCGGAAUAACUCCCCGAAAGGGGUGCUAAUACCGGAUAAUGUCUUCGGACCAAAGAUUUAUCGCCUUUGGAUGGGCCCGCGUUGGAUUAGCUAGUUGGUAGGGUAAAAGCCUACCAAGGCGACGAUCCAUAGCUGGUCUGAGAGGAUGAUCAGCCACACUGGGACUGAGACACGGCCCAGACUCCUCCGGGAAGGAAAAGCGGGGAAUGUUAGAAAAGGCGGGGGAGAGUGAUGCACUAAUACCGGGUGAGUGAUGAAGUCCUGAGGGUUAUAAAGCUCUGUUAACCGGGAGGAUACUGCCAGUGGAAAGAGAAUAAGAUCAGAGUACUUCAAAG